GACGAACGCUGGCGGCGUGCUUAACACAUGCAAGUCGAGCGUAAGGCCCUUUCGGGGGUACACGAGCGGCGAACGGGUGAGUAACACGUGGGUGACCUGCCCUUAGCUCUGGGAUAAGCCUGGGAAACUGGGUCUAAAUACCGGAUAUGACUCCAUGACGCAUGUUGUGGGGUGGAAAGCCUUGUGCGGCUAGGGAUGGGCCCGCGGCCUAUCAGCUUGUUGGUGGGGUGAUGGCCACCAAGGCGACGACGGGGUAGCCGGCCUGAGAGGGCGACCGGCCACACUGGGACUGAGACACGGCCCAGACUCCUACGGGAGGCAGCAGUGGGGAAUCUUGCGCAAUGGGCGAAAGCCUGACGCAGCGACGCCGCGU
This 373-nucleotide ribosomal RNA is filed under the name uncultured bacterium. RNAcentral's name for it is "bacterial SSU rRNA". It matches the Rfam family "Bacterial small subunit ribosomal RNA", at positions 28 to 402 of the family's 1533-position model. The record is from RNAcentral.